GCGGGAUUCUGCGGCGCCAAGAAGCGGGGCUGACCCGGCACUGGGUUGUUCUCAGAGUGUCAUCUUGGAACCCUAGGAGUUCCUGAAUGAAGUUGAAAGCGGAUCUUUUCCCCAUUAAAACUUCUAAUGUGGAUUUAGCCCCAGGAAAUGCCUGAAUUGCAGCCUGGUGUGAUCCUAAGCAGAAAACCCAGUGGACUGUGAUGAACCCUCAGAACAACUGAAGGUAUCAACACUACUGAAAGUUAUUAGGCACUUCAAAGGCGGUGUGACCCAACCUGGUGGAGAAAAGCCUUUUCUUCCUCCUCAGUGCAAGCCAGACCUGUGGUAUUUGCAUAUAAUGGGUAGAAGAAAUAAGCUGCAGCAGACUUUGGAGCUUGAACGUGAUGGCACCACCAAUGCACUCACUGUGCUAAGUCUGCACACUAAGAAACCACAUCCCACAACAUUGCCAGUGAAGCUCAGACCAUCGGUUUCCUCAACCACUAAUUUUAAUCUGCAAGA
Talpa occidentalis (Iberian mole) is the source of this 501-nucleotide long non-coding RNA. RefSeq lists it as uncharacterized. The transcript is spliced from 4 exons. Lineage: Eukaryota; Metazoa; Chordata; Mammalia; Eulipotyphla; Talpidae. The record is from RefSeq and is a predicted model, not a curated record.